GUACUUCUGAAGUGUGCCAAACUAGGACGAAACAGUUGUCCAGUAC
Molecule: non-coding RNA, 46 nt
Filed under: Trichobilharzia regenti
Lineage: Eukaryota; Metazoa; Platyhelminthes; Trematoda; Strigeidida; Schistosomatidae
Source: RNAcentral